This 205-nucleotide long non-coding RNA is filed under the name Hordeum vulgare. RNAcentral's name for it is "long non-coding RNA (HVUL_LNC011741)". Lineage: Eukaryota; Viridiplantae; Streptophyta; Magnoliopsida; Poales; Poaceae. The record is from RNAcentral.
CCUUGGAUAUGUAGGUUAGCCCCUGGUAAAUUUGGUUGCUAUAUAAAUCCAUGUUUAGGUGUUGUUUGCUUGUUGCCUAUAUGUUAGAAAAUAGUGCUGAUUUGGAGAUGCUGAAAUAUUUUGUUGUUGUCUUGCCAUGAGUUUUGCUAGUGAUCUACAACUCCUUUGAGGUUGGUGCAAUGGAGUUAUUUGUAGUCGUUAAGAU